This 369-nucleotide ribosomal RNA is filed under the name Clostridioides difficile. RNAcentral's name for it is "partial 23S ribosomal RNA". It matches the Rfam family "Bacterial large subunit ribosomal RNA", at positions 2554 to 2925 of the family's 2925-position model. Lineage: Bacteria; Bacillati; Bacillota; Clostridia; Peptostreptococcales; Peptostreptococcaceae. The record is from RNAcentral.
UGUAGUAGGUCCCAAGGGUUGGGCUGUUCGCCCAUUAAAGUGGUACGCGAGCUGGGUUCAGAACGUCGUGAGACAGUUCGGUCCCUAUCCGUCGCAGGCGUAGGAAAUUUGAGAAGACCUGUCCUUAGUACGAGAGGACCGGGAUGGACGUACCUCUGGUGUACCAGUUGUCCUGCCAAGGGCAUGGCUGGGUAGCUAUGUACGGAAUGGAUAAGCGCUGAAAGCAUCUAAGCGCGAAGCCAACUUCAAGAUAAGAUUUCCCACCGCAAGGGUAAGACCCCAGAAAGACUAUCUGGUUGAUAGGUCGAAGGUGUAAGUGCAGCAAUGUAUUUAGCUUAUCGAUACUAAUAGGUCGAGGACUUGACCAAU